AGGGAUGUAGCUCAAAUAGUAGAGCGCUCGCUUAGCAUCUGAGAGGUACUGGGAUCGACACCCCGCAUCUCCA
RNAcentral lists this transfer RNA (73 nucleotides) under Tropilaelaps mercedesae. It matches the Rfam family "tRNA". From Rfam's summary of the family: Transfer RNA (tRNA) molecules are approximately 80 nucleotides in length. Their secondary structure includes four short double-helical elements and three loops (D, anti-codon, and T loops). Lineage: Eukaryota; Metazoa; Arthropoda; Arachnida; Mesostigmata; Laelapidae. The record is from Rfam by way of RNAcentral.